RNAcentral lists this long non-coding RNA (257 nucleotides) under Capsicum annuum. Its description in RNAcentral is "long non-coding RNA (CANN_LNC012180)". The record is from RNAcentral. Lineage: Eukaryota; Viridiplantae; Streptophyta; Magnoliopsida; Solanales; Solanaceae.
AGCCUCUUUCUUGCCAAGCAGUAAGGAAGUGACGCACUUAAAGUGCAACGUCCAUCAUACGGAUAUCUAGUGGAUCGCCUUUGUGAUAUCGAGACCGUUUGUGUGUUCUCAUAAACCUGCUACACAAAAAAGAGAGAAAAAAUAGAACCACGGCCAAAUGUAUUAAGCUUGUUGAAUCAGAGCCGAUGACACGAAGCUUCAGUCCAGUGGCAAGAAAAUGUUGCUAUGGCACAAAACAUACAAAGCACCCGUCUGGA